CUGGGUGUAGCUCAGUCUGGUCAGAGUCCCCGCUUUGGAAGCGGGAUGCCAUUGGUUCAAAUCCAAUCACCCAGACCA
This 78-nucleotide transfer RNA is filed under the name bacterium. RNAcentral describes it as "tRNA-Pro". It matches the Rfam family "tRNA". From Rfam's summary of the family: Transfer RNA (tRNA) molecules are approximately 80 nucleotides in length. Their secondary structure includes four short double-helical elements and three loops (D, anti-codon, and T loops). The record is from RNAcentral.